RNAcentral lists this ribosomal RNA (723 nucleotides) under Metamycoplasma hominis. RNAcentral's name for it is "bacterial SSU rRNA". It matches the Rfam family "Bacterial small subunit ribosomal RNA", at positions 56 to 776 of the family's 1533-position model. Lineage: Bacteria; Bacillati; Mycoplasmatota; Mycoplasmoidales; Metamycoplasmataceae. The record is from RNAcentral.
UGCAUGUCGAGCGAGGUUAGCANUAACCUAGCGGCGAAUGGGUGAGUAACACGUGCUUAAUCUACCUUUUAGAUUGGAAUACCCAUUGGAAACAAUGGCUAAUGCCGGAUACGCAUGGAACCGCAUGGUUCCGUUGUGAAAGGCGCUGUAAGGCGCCACUAAAAGAUGAGGGUGCGGAACAUUAGUUAGUUGGUGAGGUAAUGGCCCACCAAGACUAUGAUGUUUAGCCGGGUCGAGAGACUGAACGGCCACAUUGGGACUGAGAUACGGCCCAAACUCCUACGGGAGGCAGCAGUAGGGAAUAUUCCACAAUGAGCGAAAGCUUGAUGGAGCGACACAGCGUGCACGAUGAAGGUCUUCGGAUUGUAAAGUGCUGUUAUAAGGGAAGAACAUUUGCAAUAGGAAAUGAUUGCAGACUGACGGUACCUUGUCAGAAAGCGAUGGCUAACUAUGUGCCAGCAGCCGCGGUAAUACAUAGGUCGCAAGCGUUAUCCGGAAUUAUUGGGCGUAAAGCGUUCGUAGGCUGUUUGUUAAGUCUGGAGUUAAAUCCCGGGGCUCAACCCCGGCUCGCUUUGGAUACUAGCAAACUAGAGUUAGAUAGAGGUAAGCGGAAUUCCAUGUGAAGCGGUGAAAUGCGUAGAUAUAUGGAAGAACACCAAAGGCGAANGCAGCUUACUGGGUCUAUACUGACGCUGANGGACGAAAGCGUGGGGAGCAAACAGG